Long non-coding RNA from Rhincodon typus (whale shark), 5790 nucleotides. RefSeq lists it as uncharacterized. NCBI's taxonomy places the organism in Eukaryota, Metazoa, Chordata, Chondrichthyes, Orectolobiformes, Rhincodontidae. The transcript has 3 exons. The record is from RefSeq and is a predicted model, not a curated record.
GAUAGAAUGUGUCGUGGAAACCGUCGCCUGGGCCUAAUGGAGUGACUACAAGCGCGCCUGGCCUGAGAGCUUGAUGGCAGGCAAAGUCAGCUGCUGAACGGGAAGGAUGGAGUGUUGGCAACUGGUUUGGUUGCCUGGAAAGCUAACCGAUAUAAAGGACUGUAUGGGUGACCUUAUAGAGAUUUAUAAAAUAAUGAGGGCUAUAGAAAAGCCAAUCCAAGUUACAGUGGGAAGAGAAAACAGAGUGGCUGCUGAUAGCAAAAGACCAGAUGACACUUUAGCAACUUAGCAAUUUUUGGUUGCUGUCUGACAGAGUUCAGAGCAAGAGAACUUCUUCACCUGUUUCACCUGUCAUGCUGGGAUGUUUAAUGACUGUCCAAAUAAGCAAACUUUUCUCAUUGUUUAAAUGCCCACCUGCCUGGUUUCUGACAGCAGGAAGAAUUCUAAACAACUUCUUGGACAACGUUCUUCUGACUAACCUAUCAGUUUUAACAAUCGUUCACUUGAUUCUCACCCCUAAUUAUCCUUUGAACUUCGUCCUUUGCAGGCAGCCUCACUAUAGUAGGUGAGCAGCAAUAUCAUCAGUACAAACCUCAAGAUUAAAGCAUGCAACAAGAAAAAUGCAUCAAACUGGUAAAGGAAAAUUAAGGUUGGACAAUAAUAGCCUUGCCAGUGAUGCCCGUUCCCAAUAACUAACAUAGACACACACACACACACACAAGAAAGAAGAAAGUGUGUUUUGUUGUCAGAAGAAAAAUACUAUCAGCCAUACCUUGCAUUGUGCAUUAUUUAUUUAGACUCCUGAAGGCCUGAAGGGGAAUUCUGUAGAAAUAUUUCCUGAAUCCCAGAGAGCCAAGCGAAGUUCUACAAUAUUCAUUCAAUUCCUCUCCCACAGCUCCACGACGAACAGCAGGCUAUUCAUCCUCAACAGGGCAACACUGUGCCCCAUGUUGAGUUAUCUCAGCAUCUCACCUAUACCAAUUUGGGAAAAAAAUGAGUGUAACAUGUUGCCAAUCAAAAGCAAGUUUAACAGAUCAGCUACUCUUUUCCUACCUAUCAAUUUCAUAUACUUGUAAGAUUCUGGAAAACUCAAUCGAUAAACCAUCAUACUUUAUUGAGGGUUUAUCCUGCAUUUUAUCACAUACUUUAUUUCUUCUGUUCUCUCAUGCCAAGAUUUGUAAUUUAAAUGUGUAGUUUUCAUUUCUGUUCCUAACACAAUAAUUGCUUUUUGUUUAGUUAUUCACUAUUGCUAAAUAGUUAUCCACGAUCCAAGCAGAGAAGUUCAAAUCCCACAGUCCAAGCAGGUUGAAGGUGAACAGACAAAGGAGCAAAUAGGUCAACUAAGAUUGGAUGAGUAGCUGAAAUAAACUUAAAAUAUAAUAACGUUAAACUGAAAUAAAAAUCACCUGCUAUAGUCAUUUAUCCCAAAAAAUAAAUGUACCUGAAGAUUAAAUAAAUCAGUCACCAUAUCUAGAGAAAUUGGGGAAUACAUUUAUUCUGGGAGAUUGUGCAAACAGGAAAUGUAAAAAUGUUGCACAAGAAUAUAAGAAAAAGGACCAAGAUUAGGCUAUUAAGCCCUUUGAGUCAGCUCUGCCAUUCAAUGAGAUCAGGCUAAUCAAAACCAUUUUCCUGCACUACCCUAGUAUCCCUUAAUGUUUUUAAUAUGUAGAAAUCUAUUAAUCUCAGUCUUGAAUAUACUGAACAACUGAGCCUAUACAGACCUCCUGCACUGUCUUCUGAGUGAAGAAAUUAGUCAUCUGAGCCUGCCUCUUAUUUUGAGUCUGUGUCUCCUGGCUCUACACACAAACCACCAACCCUGCCUCCCACCUCCACCCAGGGAAAUGUACUUCUUGCAGCCAUUUCUGAACAUGCUUUUCUUUUCCAGUCAUGUCAACAGAGAAGAAGUUUUGUUGAAAUUCAUACAUUUCACACAACCACUGUAGACAAACAUGUACCCCACAGGCUUAGGCUCCCACCCUAGCUACACAGCAAACCAGAUACAUACACUUACAUUAUUUAUGCUUCUCAGCAUUUUACAGACUAUUCAUGUACUCAUGUACUCUCUAAGCUAUUUCUGCAGUUGGGAAAAAACAUCUGUCUUUUUCUUCAACUUGUGAGUGUCAAGCAAUUAAUCGUCUUUGGCCCUGUCCUGUCAGACUUUCCCUAGCUUCAGCUUGGACACAUAUCUAAUACAGUUAGCUAGUUUUAGCAUGCAACCACAACAAAAUCAUAUUGAAGCUAAAUAUUCCAAGCUAAAAGCUCAGUUUAACAGUUUUUUUUCAUGAAUGAGUCCCAUUGUUUUAACAUCUGAUAAUCACAGAACUCUGUACUUACAUUUUCACUUAAACCUAACCAUUUAACCUACAGGAACAAAGACAUCCAACCCGUUUGAGAUAAAAGAAAGAACCCAAGCACCAUUUUAACUUGUUUUUUUAAAGGAUCAUUGUUUUAUAAGGAAUGAUUAUAAACUUUACUGAUAAACUUUACUGAUACUUUGGCUAUCUUGGUCCCAGCCUCAGCUUGACUGCUGCUGAAACCCUUCAUAUUUUUUACUUCCAUACUUAAAAGCAGUGUACAAAUUGAAACAGAAAUAGGCAAUUCAUCCUUCAAGCCUACUCCACCAUUUAAUAAAAUCAUGGCUGAUCUAUUUGUGUUCCCAAUUUCGUAUUCCCAUCUAUCCCCAAUAACCUUUGAUUCUCUUGCGCAACAAAAGUGGAAUCUUACAAGGGUCUGUUUGAGGUGGGCUAUCAUAGGCAUUGUGGAAGAAUCAUGUGAGAAGUCUGCCAAGCCCCACCUCAACAUCAGGAACAAUUCGCUCAAAUCUUCCGUGCAUCUGCUGGGCAACAAAGUGAGUUUCUCACUUGACAGUGACAAGUUGCCAAUUAAAGGGGUUAUAGAUUGUUAAAAGCCUUGUUAACUUCCUAUCUUACUGAACAUGCCAACAAAGUUAGAAAUCGAGAAUUCUAAACAUGGAAACAGAGCAGAUACCUGGCAAGUUUAGCUCGCCAGUGGCAGUGAAUAGCCUUCAUGUUGGUCACUAUGCAACAGCAUCUGAUGGCAUGAUCCAGAGCAACCAGUCACAUGCACCACUUGUCAUGACACUGGCAUCCAACAUUUGCCAAUCCCUCAUGAUCCUCAUGACACCCUUCAGAUCCACUUGCAGGAUACUUAAGAGGGACAGAUCUGGCUUGGUGAGCGCACUGGUAGCUAGUAUUGAAAGGCUGCUGCAAAGACACUUUCCAUGCAGGGACAGGACCCAGCCUGGUUGGGCCAGGCUGCAUCUCAGGGUUGCUUGUUAGCUGUCUUAGCACCCAGUCACUUGAUGCCUAACUGCAUGUUUACAGCAUAAAUGCCAUGCCCUGCCUAGUGGUGCUUUGGUGCUUUAGUUAGAGCCAACAGCCAAAAUCGAGGUCUUCUUUUGUGCAAACACAGACAGGCUACUUGUGAUGCUUAUAAGUCGGGAUGUGUCUGGGAAUGGGCAUAGUGGAAAGUCUUGUUGCACAGCACACCGAGAUGACAAUGUAACACCUACAGCAUGUGCCAGCUGCCUGUGAGGUAAACGCACUGCACAUUAUUCAACCAAAGAGCCAUGUCGAAAAGUGGUUGGGGGCGAGUCCUCAGUCUGGUCAAGGAUGGAUGCUAUCUGUCAUGGGGUCCUGGUACUGUCAGUCAAAGACACAAUCCAUACACAAUCCAGUGACUUGGCCACAGUCAGAUUGAAUAUGGUCAGGGGAUUUGCCUGACAACAAUCUCAGGAGUCGGUAGUGGUCUGUCCUGCAUGACCAUCACAAGCCGUCAGGGGAAUCGCAAAUCAUCUUUCAGGGAGCUGCUAGACAGCGGUCAAGGAUCUGGUCGUUCAUGCCUAGAGGGUGCAUGUGAAAGUCAGCCAGAUAUCUGGAGUGAAUACAUUGAUUGUUGAGGAUGGUGCAAGGGGCCCUGAAAGGGCAGAGGGCUCUCUACUGAAAGGGCAGUGAGACUCAAGAUAGGUAUGUUUGGGGGUAGUGGGAGGCAGAAGCAUGAGUAGCCAUGGGGACAAGGAUGGUAUGGGGUAGACAAAACAGCAUUGGAGGGCAUAGCUGAGAUUGCAUGUUAUUGGCUGUGGCCAUCACCCAGGACUUCAUCAGGGGGCUUAGCAGACCAAAGCUGCAAUGUCAGGGUUUCAGGCAGGGAGGACAGUUGGAGGAAAAUUCAAUGUGGUGGGUUGCCACCUGGGCACUGGGUUGAAAUGGGUUGUUGGGCUAGUGCAGCAGCCUUUUAUAGAUGGCUCAGCACAAGAAAUGUCAAUCUUUUGGCGAAUAUCCAUUGAUUGGUGACUUGUUCCGGGAACAAUGCAUGGUAAGAUGGGGAUAGAAUUGAAUGAGAUGGAUGCCGCAGGGCAGUCUAGAUAGUUAAUGAGGCGGGUGUGGAAAGAUAUGGCAAGAAAUCUCAUUAUGCUUCACAGCAAAAGAACAGCCCAAAAAAAUCAACUGUCACUAGCCAACAAGCACGAGAUUUAGACCAAUCUCGCAAUUCUAGAAAAUAUUUUUUGAACUUUAUUCAAUGUCUGUAUACACGGUUUUUGGAAUUUGGAUACCAGAAUUAGUCAUGGUACUGGAAGUAAGAUUCCUUAUUUUUAAACAGGAUCUAUGUAACUUUAACUUAUGCUUGUUGCUUUUGAAUUAUUUCUUUCAGAAAUGAAUCAAUACUUCGUUUUCAUUUUUGAUGGCUUUCUAACCUAGUAUGAACAAGUUAGGAUGCUUAAUUAUGCUAAAGAUUCUACAAGCAUGGUUUAUUCUUUGUUGUGAUUAUUUCAAGCAUCUGACAAAAAUAUUUGCUCAACAUUUUCAUGUUACGAUAGUGCCAUUUUAAGAUAAAAUUUAAAAAAUCUCCAAACAUAUUUCCCUUAUCUCUGAAGGUGUGUGUUCACAAUUCUUCCUCGCCUCCUCCCCCAACUGCCUUCAGAUAAUUGGCCCAAAUCAGAAUUGAGACAAAAUGGUAGGAAUCUAUUUUGUCUUUAGGACACAGUGGAGGGAACUGAGGGAUCUUAAUCAUUUAUUUCUACGUAUAGAGACGAAAGAAAGUGACAUCAUUUACAGGAAAUAAUGAAGAAAAUAUCAUUUGCAUUCUGAAAUAUAGAAAAAUGCUGAUAUCGGAACUUCUUUUACCAGGAAUAUGGAUACACUGUGUAAUACAAUUAGUCAUCCUGCUACUGCUUUUCUGGGAUCCUGAAGAUUUUUUUGCUAUUCAUAGCUGUUAAAGUGCCAGUGUUGUCAAAAUGCAAAUUGAUCACAAUCUUAAGUCACAACAACAACUUGCAUUAAUGUAGCAACGUGAGCAUAAUAAAAUGUCCCAAGGUGCUUCACAGAAGUAUUAUCAAAAAAAGGCAUAUAAAAAAAGUAAAGUCGCCAUAGUACUAGCACACCGUAGGGUUGCUCUCUCAUUACAGAGAGAUGACAGGUGAUAGUUUAACCUGAGGCUCACCACGCCUCAGGCAAGGGGAAAGUUUGAGAAGGAGAGUCCUUCAUGAUAACCUUAGCUGGUGCAGGAAUUGAAUUACGCUGUUGGCAUUAUUCUGCAUUGCAAACAAACCAUCCAGCCAACAGAGUUAGAGUAAUGCACACUUGUUUGCCCACAAUUGGGGAAGUUUCACUGUUGGUUUUACUAUUUUGAUUUUACUGAAAAUGAAAAUUGCUCAGAAUCGUGAAGCAUGUGAUUUUCUAAAUGGAAGCUGAAGUGAUGUAGAGUAGGUAAGAUUGUAAACAUGCAAACUCUGCACCCAUGCAAAUAAUAAAUGCAUAUGUGAAAAGGUCA